UCGAGCGGAAACGAAGAGGUGCUUGCACCUCUGGCGUCGAGCGGCGGACGGGUGAGUAAUGCUUGGGAAUAUGCCUUAUGGUGGGGGACAACAGUUGGAAACGACUGCUAAUACCGCAUGAUGUCUACGGACCAAAGUGGGGGACCUUCGGGCCUCACGCCAUAAGAUUAGCCCAAGUGGGAUUAGCUAGUUGGUGAGGUAAUGGCUCACCAAGGCGACGAUCCCUAGCUGGUUUGAGAGGAUGAUCAGCCACACUGGGACUGAGACACGGCCCAGACUCCUACGGGAGGCAGCAGUGGGGAAUAUUGCACAAUGGGCGCAAGCCUGAUGCAGCCAUGCCGCGUGUGUGAAGAAGGCCUUCGGGUUGUAAAGCACUUUCAGUAAGGAGGAAAGGUUAAGUGUUAAUAGCAC
This 411-nucleotide ribosomal RNA is filed under the name uncultured prokaryote. RNAcentral's name for it is "bacterial SSU rRNA". It matches the Rfam family "Bacterial small subunit ribosomal RNA", at positions 62 to 473 of the family's 1533-position model. The record is from RNAcentral.